RNAcentral lists this transfer RNA (71 nucleotides) under Loxodonta africana (African savanna elephant). It matches the Rfam family "tRNA". From Rfam's summary of the family: Transfer RNA (tRNA) molecules are approximately 80 nucleotides in length. Their secondary structure includes four short double-helical elements and three loops (D, anti-codon, and T loops). The record is from Rfam by way of RNAcentral. Lineage: Eukaryota; Metazoa; Chordata; Mammalia; Proboscidea; Elephantidae.
GUAGUGGUGGUUCAGUGGUAGAACUUUUGCCUUCCACACAGGAGACCUGAGCUUGAUUUCCUGCCAGUGCA